GACGAACGCUGGCGGCGUGCCUAAUACAUGCAAGUUGAGCGCUGAAGGUUGGUACUUGUACCAACUGGAUGAGCAGCGAACGGGUGAGUAACGCGUGGGGAAUCUGCCUUUGAGCGGGGGACAACAUUUGGAAACGAAUGCUAAUACCGCAUAAAAACUUUAAACACAAGUUUUAAGUUUGAAAGAUGCAAUUGCAUCACUCAAAGAUGAUCCCGCGUUGUAUUAGCUAGUUGGUGAGGUAAAGGCUCACCAAGGCGAUGAUACAUAGCCGACCUGAGAGGGUGAUCGGCCACAUUGGGACUGAGACACGGCCCAAACUCCUACGGGAGGCAGCAGUAGGGAAUCUUCGGCAAUAGACGAAAGUCUGACCGAGCAACGCCGCGUGAGUGAAGAAGGUUUUCGGAUCGUAAAACUCUGUUGGUAGAGAAGAACGUUGGUGAGAGUGGAAAGCCCAUCAAGUGACGGUAACUACCCAGAAAGGGACGGCUAACUACGUG
This 497-nucleotide ribosomal RNA is filed under the name uncultured bacterium. RNAcentral's name for it is "partial 16S ribosomal RNA". It matches the Rfam family "Bacterial small subunit ribosomal RNA", at positions 28 to 507 of the family's 1533-position model. The record is from RNAcentral.